CACGUAGGGCGCAAGCGUUGUCCGGAAUUAUUGGGCGUAAAGAGCUCGUAGGCGGUCUGUUGCGUCCGCUGUGAAAACUCGGGGCUUAACCCCGAGCCUGCAGUGGAUACGGGCAGACUAGAGGUAGGUAGGGGAGAAUGUAAUUCCCGGUGUAGCGGUGAAAUGCGCAGAUAUCAGGAAGAACACCCGUGGCGAAGGCGGCUCUCCGGGACGGUACUGACGCUGAGACGCGAAAGCGUGGGGAGCAAAACGG
Molecule: ribosomal RNA, 253 nt
Filed under: uncultured bacterium
Lineage: Bacteria
Description: partial 16S ribosomal RNA
Rfam family: Bacterial small subunit ribosomal RNA
Source: RNAcentral